Molecule: ribosomal RNA, 454 nt
Filed under: uncultured bacterium
Lineage: Bacteria
Description: partial 16S ribosomal RNA
Rfam family: Bacterial small subunit ribosomal RNA
Source: RNAcentral
GAUGAACGCUGACAGAAUGCUUAACACAUGCAAGUCAACUUGAACUUCGGUUUGGGUGGCGGACGGGUGAGUAACGCGUACAGAACUUGCCUCACAGUUAGGGACAACAUUUGGAAACGAAUGCUAAUACCUGAUAUUAUGAUUUUAGGGCAUCCUAGAAUUAUGAAAGCUAUAUGCGCUGUGAGAGAGCUUUGCGUCCCAUUAGCUAGUUGGAGAGGUAACGGCUCACCAAGGCGAUGAUGGGUAGCCGGCCUGAGAGGGUGAACGGCCACAAGGGGACUGAGACACGGCCCUUACUCCUACGGGAGGCAGCAGUGGGGAAUAUUGGACAAUGGACCAAGAGUCUGAUCCAGCAAUUCUGUGUGCACGAUGAAGUUUUUCGGAAUGUAAAGUGGUUUCAGUUGGGAAGAAAAAAAUGACGGUACCAACAGAAGAAGUGACGGCUAAAUACGUG